ACGGUGGAUGCCCUGGCAGUCAGAGGCGAUGAAGGACGUGCUAAUCUGCGAUAAGCGUCGGUAAGGUGAUAUGAACCGUUAUAACCGGCGAUUUCCGAAUGGGGAAACCCAGUGUGAUUCGUCACACUAUCAUUAACUGAAUCCAUAGGUUAAUGAGGCGAACCGGGGGAACUGAAACAUCUAAGUACCCCGAGGAAAAGAAAUCAACCGAGAUUCCCCCAGUAGCGGCGAGCGAACGGGGAGGAGCCCAGAGCCUGAAUCAGUGUGUGUGUUAGUGGAAGCGUCUGGAAAGGCGCGCGAUACAGGGUGACAGCCCCGUACACAAAAAUGCACAUGCUGUGAGCUCGAUGAGUAGGGCGGGACACGUGGUAUCCUGUCUGAAUAUGGGGGGACCAUCCUCCAAGGCUAAAUACUCCUGACUGACCGAUAGUGAACCAGUACCGUGAGGGAAAGGCGAAAAGAACCCCGGCGAGGGGAGUGAAAAAGAACCUGAAACCGUGUACGUACAAGCAGUGGGAGCACGCUUAGGCGUGUGACUGCGUACCUUUUGUAUAAUGGGUCAGCGACUUAUAUUCUGUAGCAAGGUUAACCGAAUAGGGGAGCCGAAGGGAAACCGAGUCUUAACUGGGCGUUAAGUUGCAGGGUAUAGACCCGAAACCCGGUGAUCUAGCCAUGGGCAGGUUGAAGGUUGGGUAACACUAACUGGAGGACCGAACCGACUAAUGUUGAAAAAUUAGCGGAUGACUUGUGGCUGGGGGUGAAAGGCCAAUCAAACCGGGAGAUAGCUGGUUCUCCCCGAAAGCUAUUUAGGUAGCGCCUCGUGAAUUCAUCUCCGGGGGUAGAGCACUGUUUCGGCAAGGGGGUCAUCCCGACUUACCAACCCGAUGCAAACUGCGAAUACCGGAGAAUGUUAUCACGGGAGACACACGGCGGGUGCUAACGUCCGUCGUGAAGAGGGAAACAACCCAGACCGCCAGCUAAGGUCCCAAAGUCAUGGUUAAGUGGGAAACGAUGUGGGAAGGCCCAGACAGCCAGGAUGUUGGCUUAGAAGCAGCCAUCAUUUAAAGAAAGCGUAAUAGCUCACUGGUCGAGUCGGCCUGCGCGGAAGAUGUAACGGGGCUAAACCAUGCACCGAAGCUGCGGCAGCGACGCUGAUGCGUUGUUGGGUAGGGGAGCGUUCUGUAAGCCUGCGAAGGUGUGCUGUGAGGCAUGCUGGAGGUAUCAGAAGUGCGAAUGCUGACAUAAGUAACGAUAAAGCGGGUGAAAAGCCCGCUCGCCGGAAGACCAAGGGUUCCUGUCCAACGUUAAUCGGGGCAGGGUGAGUCGACCCCUAAGGCGAGGCCGAAAGGCGUAGUCGAUGGGAAACAGGUUAAUAUUCCUGUACUUGGUGUUACUGCGAAGGGGGGACGGAGAAGGCUAUGUUGGCCGGGCGACGGUUGUCCCGGUUUAAGCGUGUAGGCUGGUUUUCCAGGCAAAUCCGGAAAAUCAAGGCUGAGGCGUGAUGACGAGGCACUACGGUGCUGAAGCAACAAAUGCCCUGCUUCCAGGAAAAGCCUCUAAGCAUCAGGUAACAUCAAAUCGUACCCCAAACCGACACAGGUGGUCAGGUAGAGAAUACCAAGGCGCUUGAGAGAACUCGGGUGAAGGAACUAGGCAAAAUGGUGCCGUAACUUCGGGAGAAGGCACGCUGAUAUGUAGGUGAAGCGACUUGCUCGUGGAGCUGAAAUCAGUCGAAGAUACCAGCUGGCUGCAACUGUUUAUUAAAAACACAGCACUGUGCAAACACGAAAGUGGACGUAUACGGUGUGACGCCUGCCCGGUGCCGGAAGGUUAAUUGAUGGGGUUAGCGCAAGCGAAGCUCUUGAUCGAAGCCCCGGUAAACGGCGGCCGUAACUAUAACGGUCCUAAGGUAGCGAAAUUCCUUGUCGGGUAAGUUCCGACCUGCACGAAUGGCGUAAUGAUGGCCAGGCUGUCUCCACCCGAGACUCAGUGAAAUUGAACUCGCUGUGAAGAUGCAGUGUACCCGCGGCAAGACGGAAAGACCCCGUGAACCUUUACUAUAGCUUGACACUGAACAUUGAGCCUUGAUGUGUAGGAUA
Molecule: ribosomal RNA, 2099 nt
Filed under: Escherichia coli 113302
Lineage: Bacteria; Pseudomonadati; Pseudomonadota; Gammaproteobacteria; Enterobacterales; Enterobacteriaceae
Description: bacterial LSU rRNA
Rfam family: Bacterial large subunit ribosomal RNA
Source: RNAcentral